AGAGUUUGAUCAUGGCUCAGGAUGAACGCUAGCGGCAGGCUUAACACAUGCAAGUCGAGCGGGACCUUCGGGUCUAGCGGCGGACGGGUGAGUAUCGCGUGGGAACGUACCCUUUUCUACGGAAUAGCCUCGGGAAACUGAGAGUAAUACCGUAUACGCCCUUUUGGGGAAAGAUUUAUCGGAGAAGGAUCGGCCCGCGUUGGAUUAGGUAGUUGGUGGGGUAAUGGCCUACCAAGCCGACGAUCCAUAGCUGGUUUGAGAGGAUGAUCAGCCACACUGGGACUGAGACACGGCCCAGACUCCUACGGGAGGCAGCAGUGGGGAAUCUUAGACAAUGGGGGCAACCCUGAUCUAGCCAUGCCGCGUGAGUGAUGAAGGCCUUAGGGUUGUAAAGCUCUUUCAGCUGGGAAGAUAAUGACGGUACCAGCAGAAGAAGCCCCGGCUAACUCCGUGCCAGCAGCCGCGGUAAUA
This 471-nucleotide ribosomal RNA is filed under the name uncultured bacterium. RNAcentral describes it as "bacterial SSU rRNA". It matches the Rfam family "Bacterial small subunit ribosomal RNA", at positions 8 to 525 of the family's 1533-position model. The record is from RNAcentral.